AGCCGAAAGGUUGGCUAAUACCGCAUAAGACCUGAGGGUGAAAGCCGGGGACCGCAAGGCCUGGCGCAGACGGAGCGGCCGAUGAUUGAUUAGCUUGUUGGCGGGGUAAAGGCCCACCAAGGCGACGAUCAAUAGCUGGUCUGAGAGGACGACCAGCCACACUGGAACUGAGACACGGUCCAGACUCCUACGGGAGGCAGCAGUAGGGAAUUUUGGACAAUGGGGGCAACCCUGAUCCAGCCAUGCCGCGUGCGGGAAGAAGGCCUUCGGGUUGUAAACCGCUUUUGUCAGGGACGAAAAGGGACGGGUUAAGAGCUAGUUCCGCUGACGGUACCUGAAGAAUAAGCACCGGCUAACUACGUGCCAGCAGCCGCGGUAAUACGUAGGGUGCAAGCGUUAAUCGGAAUUACUGGGCGUAAAGCGUGCGCAGGCGGUUGGGUAAGACAGAUGUGAAAUCCCCGGGCUUAACCUGGGAACUGCAUUUGUGACUGUCCGACUGGAGUACGUCAGAGGGGGGUGGAAUUCCGCGUGUAGCAGUGAAAUGCGUAGAUAUGCGGAAGAACACCGAUGGCGAAGGCAGCCCCCUGGGACGCAACUGACGCUCAUGCACGAAAGCGUGGGGAGCAAACAGGAUUAGAUACCCUGGUAGUCCACGCCCUAAACGAUGUCUGCCGGUUGUUGGGGAUUUCUAUCUUCAGUAACGAAGCUAACGCGUGAAGCAGACCGCCUGGGGAGUACGGUCGCAAGAUUAAAACUCAAAGGAAUUGACGGGGACCCGCACAAGCGGUGGAUGAUGUGGAUUAAUUCGAUGCAACGCGAAAAACCUUACCUAGCCUUGACAUGUCAGGAAUGCUUCGUAAAUGAGGCAGUGCCCGCAAGGGAACCUGAGCACAGGUGCUGCAUGGCUGUCGUCAGCUCGUGUCGUGAGAUGUU
Molecule: ribosomal RNA, 933 nt
Filed under: human gut metagenome
Description: bacterial SSU rRNA
Rfam family: Bacterial small subunit ribosomal RNA
Source: RNAcentral